GUGAAUCAUCGAAUUUUUGAACGCAAAUGGCACUCUCUGCGGAGAGUAUGCCUGUUUGAGGGUCAGUAUUAAUAAAAAUCGGUGUGUUGCUUCUUUGGGACGCUCCGGAGGUGGGGUCAUCUUAAUAGCCUUGAGGUUGUAAGGGGCUGAAAAUGGACUUUUUUUGCGCAUGUUAGAUGUACAUAAAUUCUUGUUUGUAUGCGUAGGUCUUAGUGCUCAAAAGCCGAUUAGAGGCGACCAUAUCGUGGGGUUUCGUGUCUAUAAAUUUU
This 269-nucleotide unclassified non-coding RNA is filed under the name Glomeraceae sp. Its description in RNAcentral is "partial contains 5.8S ribosomal RNA and internal transcribed spacer 2". The stretch from base 1 to 65 matches the Rfam family "5.8S ribosomal RNA", at positions 84 to 154 of the family's 154-position model. The record is from RNAcentral. Lineage: Eukaryota; Fungi; Glomeromycota; Glomeromycetes; Glomerales; Glomeraceae.